RNAcentral lists this ribosomal RNA (492 nucleotides) under uncultured bacterium. RNAcentral describes it as "partial 16S ribosomal RNA". It matches the Rfam family "Bacterial small subunit ribosomal RNA", at positions 29 to 507 of the family's 1533-position model. The record is from RNAcentral.
AGUGAACGCUGGCGGUAGGCCUAACACAUGCAAGUCGAACGGCAGCACAGUAAGAGCUUGCUCUUACGGGUGGCGAGUGGCGGACGGGUGAGGAAUGCAUCGGAAUCUACUUUUUCGUGGGGGAUAACGUAGGGAAACUUACGCUAAUACCGCAUACGACCUACGGGUGAAAGCAGGGGAUCUUCGGACCUUGCGCGAUUGAAUGAGCCGAUGUCGGAUUAGCUAGUUGGCGGGGUAAAGGCCCACCAAGGCGACGAUUCGUAGCUGGUCUGAGAGGGUGAUCCGCCACACUGGGACUUAGGCACGGUCCCGAACCCUACGGGGGGGAAGAGGGGGGAAAUUUGGGAAAAGGGGGCAAGGCCGGCCCCGCCCAUACGGGGGUGGGAAAAAAGGCCUCCGGUUGUAAAAGCCCUUUUGUUGGGAAAAAAAACAGGCAGGUUAAACCCCCCCGUUUUGAAGGGAACCCAAAAAAAAAGCACCGCCAAACUCGUG